UUAUAUAUAUAUAUAUAUAUAUAGAAUUGAGCUCUUAUGCUUUUAAAAGUACCAAGUUAUCAGUAUUUAUAGAUUUUUAGCCAUUGGAUUAAAAGAUAUGCGGUUAGGAUGAUGUGGGCCCCCUAGGGUUGAGUGGGUGGUUGGUUGAAUAGUAUAAUCUAAUAGUUGAAAAUGAUCUGAGAAAUAGAUCUAACGGUAAAAAAUUUACAAGCACCGAUAAAAAAUUUACAAGCACCGAGUGCUUUGUACUUUUACAAGCACCAUAGCUGAACUAUAUAUAUAUAUAUAUAUAGAGAGAGAGAGAGAGAGAGAGAGAGAGAGAGAACGUCUCCCAUGCUUUAGAGAGAGAGAGAGAGAGUACGUCUCCUAUGUUUUUGAAAGUACGGAGGCCUUCGUGCUUAUAAGUUAUUUUCGAUGAUAGGACAUCCGAUUCGACGAUCAGCUCCGUUAGGCAUAAUCUAUACUAUUGAAACUAUUUAGAAAUCAAAUUUUAUAAUUUUUCGACUUCAUUUACCAAGCGAUCAGAGGGUCUCAAAAAUGACUAUUUUAACGGCCGAUGUGGCACGUUUUUAAGUUCAACGGUGUAGAAGUAUCCAAAUUAUAUGAAACUUUAAUAGAAAAUUCUACUUAACAUCAAGAGUAAGAACAAUAUUUCCGAUUUGAAAUUUGAAUCUUUUAUCAGUGUUUUUUAUGAGAUUUUUAUUUUCAGCCGUUCAUUUUGAGGCUACUCGUUCACUAGGCAAACAAAAUUAAAAAAUUAUGAAAUUUGGUUUCUGGAUAGUUUUAAUAGUGCAGAUCAUGUUUAACGGAACCGAUCGCCGAAUUGGACGUCCCAUUAUCGAAAACAAAUUACAAGCACGGAGGCCUCCGUACUUUCAAAAGCAUAGAGCUCUCUCUCUCUCUCUCUCUCUCUCUCUCUCUCUCUCUCUCUAUUACUAUAUAUAAUAUAUAUAUAUAUAUAUAUAUAUAUAGUUGAGCUAGAUUACGCUCAAAAGCACCAAGAAGGUAGUGUUUUUGAGUUUUUAGCCAUUGGAUGGAGAGAUGUGAGGUUGAGAUGAUGGUGGUAGGUGGAGUAGCGUUUGAUCCAAAGGCUAUUAGUAAUCAUGGAGUAGAUCAAAGGACUAGAAAAUUAGAAGCAUCAAGGGGUUGGUGUUUCUAAAAGUAUUCUAGCUAAAUUCUCUCUCUAUAUAUAUAUAUAUAGAGUCCGCCUACUAUAUUAUUAUGAGUACGAUCGUUCUCGUACUCAUAAGUUGUUUUUUAUGAUAGAGCUUCCGAAUCGACAAUCCACACCAUUAAAUCUUAUCUACAGUAUUUAAAACUUCUAAAAAUUAAAUUUCAUAAUUUUUCGACAUCAUUUGCCUUACGAUCAAAAGCUUACAAAAUUGACAAUUUUUAACGGCCGGUAUGAGGUACUUGCUAGUUUAACGGUAUAAAAGAAUCGGAAUAGGUUGCAUUUUUUAUAGAAAAUUCUAUUCACUGCCUAGAUAAAGAUCAAUAACUCCGAUCUUAAAUUAAGGGAUCCGAUUAUCUAUUUUUAGGGCGUCGUUCGAUUUUGAUCGGAUCCAUUUUUAGGACGUUGUUCGAUUUUGACCGUUUAUUUUAUGCCCGUUUGAUGAACUUUAUUAUGAUUUCGAAAAAUUACGAAAUUUAUUUUUUAAAAGUUUCAGAUGCUCUAUAUCAUAUUUAACGGAGUGGAUCGUCGAUUCGGAAGCCCUACAAUCGAAAACAACUUAUGAGUACGAAGGGCCCAAUACUCAUAAGAGUAUAGUAGCUCUACUCUAUAUAUAUAUAUAUAUAUACAGGCUCUUUGUGAUCCACAACGUGUUAUCAUUUUGUUCAUUUAUUUUAAAAAUAAACUUCAUUGCAAAUAUAAAAUAACUAUAUUUUAAAGAUCAAGCUCUUUAUCACUUACACUAGAGAUGAUCC
RNAcentral lists this long non-coding RNA (1926 nucleotides) under Ananas comosus (pineapple). RNAcentral describes it as "long non-coding RNA (ACOM_LNC037984)". Lineage: Eukaryota; Viridiplantae; Streptophyta; Magnoliopsida; Poales; Bromeliaceae. The record is from RNAcentral.